This 190-nucleotide ribosomal RNA is filed under the name uncultured marine Eubacterium MBE3. RNAcentral describes it as "partial 16S ribosomal RNA". The record is from RNAcentral.
AUUACCGCGGCUGCUGGCACGGAGUUAGCCGGUGCUUAUUCAUGAGAUACCGUCAGACCCUAAAUAAAUCAAGGCGUUUCUUCUCUCAUAAAAGCAGUUUACAACCCAUAGGGCCGUCAUCCUGCACGCGGGAUGGCUGGAUCAGACUUUCGUCCAUUGUCCAAUAUUCCUUACUGCUGCCUCCCGUAGC